GUGCUCUUUUCUGCAGCACAUUUACUAAAAUUGGAACAACACAGAGAAGAUUAGCAUGGGCAUUGUGCAAGGAUAACACAAAAUUUGUGAAGUGGUCCAUAUUUUU
Small nuclear RNA from Microtus oregoni (creeping vole), 106 nucleotides. NCBI's taxonomy places the organism in Eukaryota, Metazoa, Chordata, Mammalia, Rodentia, Cricetidae. The record is from RefSeq and is a predicted model, not a curated record.